AGUGAACGCUGGCGGUAGGCCUAACACAUGCAAGUCGAACGGCAGCACAGUAAGAGCUUGCUCUUACGGGUUGCGAGUGGCGGACGGGUGAGGAAUACAUCGGAAUCUACUUUUUCGUGGGGGAUAACGUAGGGAAACUUACGCUAAUACCGCAUACGACCUACGGGUGAAAGCAGGGGAUCUUCGCACCUUGCGCGAUUGAAUGAGCCGAUGUCGGAUUAGCUAGUUGGCGGGGUAAAGGCCCACGAAGGCGACGAUCCGUAGCUGGUCUGAGAGGAUGAUCAGCCACACUGGAACUGAGACACGGUCCAGACUCCUACGGGAGGCAGCAGUGGGGAAUAUUGGACAAUGGGCGCAAGCCUGAUCCAGCCAUACCGCGUGGGUGAAGAAGGCCUUCGGGUUGUAAAGCCCUUUUGUUGGGAAAGAAAAGCAGCAGGUUAAUACCCCGCUGUUCUGACGGUACCCAAAGAAUAAGCACCGGCUAACUUCGUG
RNAcentral lists this ribosomal RNA (492 nucleotides) under uncultured bacterium. Its description in RNAcentral is "partial 16S ribosomal RNA". It matches the Rfam family "Bacterial small subunit ribosomal RNA", at positions 29 to 507 of the family's 1533-position model. The record is from RNAcentral.